GACAGAGGAUGCAAGCGUUAUCCGGAAUGAUUGGGCGUAAAGCGUCUGUAGGUGGCUUUUCAAGUCCGCCGUCAAAUCCCAGGGCUCAACCCUGGACAGGCGGUGGAAACUACCAAGCUGGAGUACGGUAGGGGCAGAGGGAAUUUCCGGUGGAGCGGUGAAAUGCGUAGAUAUUGGGAGGAACACCAGUGGCGAAGGCGGCUCACUGGACCGGAACUGACGCUGAGGCGCGAAAGCGUGGGGAGCAAACGGG
RNAcentral lists this ribosomal RNA (253 nucleotides) under uncultured bacterium. RNAcentral's name for it is "partial 16S ribosomal RNA". It matches the Rfam family "Bacterial small subunit ribosomal RNA", at positions 524 to 776 of the family's 1533-position model. The record is from RNAcentral.